ACGCUGGCGGCAGGCCUAACACAUGCAAGUCGAGCGGUAGAGAGAAGCUUGCUUCUCUUGAGAGCGGCGGACGGGUGAGUAAUGCCUAGGAAUCUGCCUGGUAGUGGGGGAUAACGUUCGGAAACGGACGCUAAUACCGCAUACGUCCUACGGGAGAAAGCAGGGGACCUUCGGGCCUUGCGCUAUCAGAUGAGCCUAGGUCGGAUUAGCUAGUUGGUGAGGUAAUGGCUCACCAAGGCGACGAUCCGUAACUGGUCUGAGAGGAUGAUCAGUCACACUGGAACUGAGACACGGUCCAGACUCCUACGGGAGGCAGCAGUGGGGAAUAUUGGACAAUGGGCGAAAGCCUGAUCCAGCCAUGCCGCGUGUGUGAAGAAGGUCUUCGGAUUGUAAAGCACUUUAAGUUGGGAGGAAGGGUUGCAGAUUAAUACUCUGCAAUUUUGACGUUACCGACAGAAUAAGCACCGGCUAACUCUGUGCCAGCAGCCGCGGUAAUACAGAGGGUGCAAGCGUUAAUCGGAAUUACUGGGCGUAAAGCGCGCGUAGGUGGUUAGUUAAGUUGGAUGUGAAAUCCCCGGGCUCAACCUGGGAACUGCAUUCAAAACUGACUGACUAGAGUAUGGUAGAGGGUGGUGGAAUUUCCUGUGUAGCGGUGAAAUGCGUAGAUAUAGGAAGGAACACCAGUGGCGAAGGCGACCACCUGGACUGAUACUGACACUGAGGUGCGAAAGCGUGGGGAGCAAACAGGAUUAGAU
Molecule: ribosomal RNA, 755 nt
Filed under: uncultured bacterium
Lineage: Bacteria
Description: bacterial SSU rRNA
Rfam family: Bacterial small subunit ribosomal RNA
Source: RNAcentral